UGGGGAAUAUUGGGCAAUGGGCGCAAGCCUGACCCAGCAAUACCGCGUGUGUGAAGAAGGCCUGAGGGUUGUAAAGCACUUUCAAUGGGGAGGAAAAAGGCAAGUUUAAUACGCUUGCCCUUGACAUUACCCAUACAAGAAGCCCCGGCUAACUUCGUGCCAGCAGCCGCGGUAAUACGAAGGGGGCUAGCGUUGCUCGGAAUCACUGGGCGUAAAGCGCACGUAGGCGGCUUCUUAAGUCAGAGGUGAAAUCCUGGAGCUCAACUCCAGAACUGCCUUUGAUACUGAGGAGCUUGAGUCCGGGAGAGGUGAGUGGAACUCCGAGUGUAGAGGUGAAAUUCGUAGAUAUUCGGAAGAACACCAGUGGCGAAGGCGGCAUCCUGGACCGGUAUUGACGCUGAGUGAGCGAAAGCCAGGGGAGCAAACGGGAUUAGAUACCCCUGUAGUCCCUGAGCGGGCUGGCAAGGCGCAU
This 472-nucleotide ribosomal RNA is filed under the name uncultured bacterium. Its description in RNAcentral is "bacterial SSU rRNA". It matches the Rfam family "Bacterial small subunit ribosomal RNA", at positions 355 to 825 of the family's 1533-position model. The record is from RNAcentral.